CGUGGGGGCGGAGCCCGCGGCAGGGAGCGCGAGAGCCACGCCACGCGGCUCCCGUGGAGGGAGCCCUGCUUUGCUGCUUGCUGAAGCGGAAGUCACCGAGUUCCGGAGAUGCUUAUUAUUCCCCGUCUUCACUACCGAAAGGACGCCUGCAACACGGGCGCAUAAACUAUCUGAAUAGAAGGGAAAACAGUAGCAACAGCAAAAGAAAGAAACGCAGGGUCCCGAGUGAGGUCAGUGCACAAAAGCCCCGACGCCCCACGUCCCUGCCUCGUACAGGCCACACGUCUGCUCGUGGGAUUACUCCAACACGUGAAGGAUGAUUCUUUUAAAAAUUAUACUUCACUCAAGUUUGCUCCCUGCUAAGCUUUUUAUGAUGUCAUUUAACUCUAUGACAACCUGCAGGCCGAUAUUCUUACUGCUACCUUACAAACGAAGGAGCUCAGGUUCGGAAACAGCAAGGAGCUUGUCCAGGGCCGCACAGCGCGCGGGAGACGCAGCAGGACGGAAGCGGGUCCCAGAGCCCCAGCGCCUCGCCGUGGCCUUCACAAGGCCGCAGCGCCGAGGAAGCCAGCGCGGGGGUGGCCGGCCGCGGCCUCCUGGGGAGGCAGUUUACCUUCUUCACCGCCCCCAGUUAGGACGCGGAGGGGAGUGAGAAGACACCCUGCAGGGGAACUGGCAUGGAUUCUGCGAUGGCCACCUGGGCUCACGUGUCGGCCCCGCUUCUCACCAGCGACGCCCCUUGGACCAACGACUCAUCCUACCUGAGCCUCCGCUUCCCCGAUUGUAGAAAUGGGGCAACAGCAGGAACCCGGCAGAGGCAGUCAUGGGUCAACGACAGAACAUGUGGAAGAGGCGGGCCUGGUGCCAGCACCAGACACAGAGCUCGGUGGGCACCCACGUCUGGGAAACACGCAGGCCAGCUACACACACGGCAGUGGCGACUCCACCGGAGCAUGGCUUGCCCCGCGUGUGCCACGCCGUGCCAUGCCUGCGCCUUGUUGGCCACUGUGGCCACCGCCAGGAAGAGAACUGGGUCUUUCAAGCCUGGGGAAAUCCAGCUCUAAGGAGACAAAAUAAAGGAGCAGAAGAGACACAGGGCAGGAGACAGAAGAAAGUGUGAAAGGAGGAGAGAGAAGAAAACGGAAGACGACGACAAAAGAAACUACUGGGUUGCAGCCCACAGUCUAUUUCUUUCAGCUCUAUGUAAAAGGUGGUAUCUUUUAGGGCUCCGAAGACACAAACGAGCAUAACUUUCAGAACCAAUAUUAGAAAAAAUCCUAAGACCCAUCAAUUCUCAACUAGCUGAGGGCGGAUCGUUGCUGUAACGAAUGCCCGCUGUGGACUCAGGAGCGUGGUUAGCCCACGGGGGCCACGAGACAGGUUUGAUGUCAGUGGAGGUGCCCGGCCAGUCUCCAAUCACAGGACCACCGUGCCAUCUAAACAGCUCCUGGAAGAUUUAUGGCGCUGUUGCCAGUCAAUUAGCCUGAGCAAAAGGCCAAGUAACUGUCCCAGCUCAACCCUCAACGGUGCCUGGAAAACAGACCUCAGUGAGCCGACCGGCCCCAGUCCCAGCACUAGCUGUAAACACGGUUCUUGGCAAUUCUUCAGCUCUCCAUUUCUUUAUUUACAAAUUGAGAAGUUUGUGCCCUAUCUUCUAUAAUUCUUCCCUCGUCCUGUUGCACGCUUCCUCUCCACCUCCCCAGCACAAACGGAGGUCACUGCAGGGCUCCCCACCCCGCUGGGCUCCCCUGCCGUGGGAGGACCGCAGGGCUGCAGGGCUUCCCGCCACGAGGACGGGCCUCUGCCUCGUGGACAAGAGGCUGGCACCCUGGGGAGACCGAGAGCAAAUUGGUGUUUGUUGUACGUUCAUCAGCAACUUCGCUGCCAGGGCAGAGAAUAUCAAAACACAGAGGCCCUGGCAGAAGCCCCAGCGCCGGGGUCACACCCGCCUGGUCUGUGACAGGCCAUGGGCUGACAGAGAGGGCUUCCUGUCGACAGGAAGUAAAGGAUGGAGAUCGCAUUAUUUUCAAAGUAGGUAGUGGAAGAAAGAGAUGAGUGAGAUUCCAAUUAA
Molecule: non-coding RNA, 2071 nt
Organism: Microcebus murinus (gray mouse lemur)
Lineage: Eukaryota; Metazoa; Chordata; Mammalia; Primates; Cheirogaleidae
Source: RefSeq, a predicted model, not a curated record